AGUGAACGCUGGCGGCGUGCUUAACACAUGCAAGUCGAACGAGAACGGGCUAUAGCUUGCUAUAGUUGUCAGCUAAGUGGCGCACGGGUGAGUAAUGUAUAGGUAAUAUGCCUCUUACUAAGGGAUAACAAAUGGAAACGUUUGCUAAUACCUUAUACUCCUUUUAAACAAAAGUUUAAAAGGGAAAGAUUUAUUGGUAAGAGAUUAGCCUGUAUUGUAUCAGUUAGUUGGUGGGGUAAUGGCUUACCAAGACUAUGACACAUAACUGGUUUGAGAGGAUGAUCAGUCACACUGGAACUGAGACACGGUCCAGACUCCUACGGGAGGCAGCAGUGGGGAAUAUUGCACAAUGGACGAAAGUCUGAUGCAGCAACGCCGCGUGGAGGAUGACACAUUUCGGUGCGUAAACUCCUUUUAUAUAAGAAGAUAAUGACGGUAUUAUAUGAAUAAGCACCGGCUAACUCCGUG
Molecule: ribosomal RNA, 468 nt
Filed under: uncultured bacterium
Lineage: Bacteria
Description: bacterial SSU rRNA
Rfam family: Bacterial small subunit ribosomal RNA
Source: RNAcentral